GUGGGGGAUAUUGCGCAAUGGGGGCAACCCUGACGCAGCAACGCCGCGUGAAGGAUGAAGGUUUUCGGAUUGUAAACUUCUUUUAUCAGGGACGAAGCUUGACGGUACCUGAUGAAUAAGCUCCGGCUAACUACGUGCCAGCAGCCGCGGUAAUACGUAGGGAGCAAGCGUUGUCCGGAUUUACUGGGUGUAAAGGGUGCGUAGGCGGCCGAGUAAGUCAGAUGUGAAAUCUAUGGGCUCAACCCAUAAACUGCAUUUGAAACUACCCGGCUUGAGUGAAGUAGAGGCAGGCGGAAUUCCCUGUGUAGCGGUGAAAUGCGUAGAGAUAGGGAGGAACACCAGUGGCGAAGGCGGCCUGCUGGGCUUUAACUGACGCUGAGGCACGAAAGCGUGGGUAGCAAACAGGAUUAGAAACCCUAGUAGUCC
Molecule: ribosomal RNA, 426 nt
Filed under: uncultured bacterium
Lineage: Bacteria
Description: bacterial SSU rRNA
Rfam family: Bacterial small subunit ribosomal RNA
Source: RNAcentral